AAUAGCUAUGUUUUAGUGGGAUUAGUAAGGAUUUAUUUAAUAAAUAUUAACCCAAAGAGAAAUUUGAUAAAAAACGAAGCGAAUUGAAAUAUCUUAAUAGCUUUAGGAAAAGAAAUCAAAAGAGAUUCUAUUAUUAGUGUGAACGAAAGUAGAUAAGCCUAAAAAAAAGUAAAACAGAUUUAAAUCUUCUUGAACUUUAAGGGGAACCUUCCUCUAAGGCUAAAUAAUAAGCAUAAGCGAUAGUGUAAUAGUACCGUGAGGGAAAUUUGUAAA
This is a ribosomal RNA of Thielaviopsis punctulata, 273 nucleotides long. It matches the Rfam family "Archaeal large subunit ribosomal RNA", at positions 32 to 512 of the family's 2987-position model. The record is from Rfam. NCBI's taxonomy places the organism in Eukaryota, Fungi, Ascomycota, Sordariomycetes, Microascales, Ceratocystidaceae.